UAACGAAUCUUCCGCAAUGCACGAAAGUGUGACGGAGCGACGCCGCGUGGAGGACGAAGUUCUUCGGAAUGUAAACUCCUGUCAGGGGAAAGAAAGUUCUGAUCUACCCCAGAGGAAGAGGCGGCUAACUCUGUGCCAGCAGCCGCGGUAAUACAGAGGCCUCGAGCGUUAGACGGAAUCACUGGGCUUAAAGCGUGUGUAGGCGGAAGGGUAAGUACCUUGUGAAAUCCCACGGCUUAACCGUGGAACGGCUUGGUAUACUGCUUUUCUUGAGCAAUCUAGGGGCGAGUGGAACAGAUGGUGGAGCGGUGAAAUGCGUAGAUAUCAUCUGGAACGCCAAUGGUGAAGACAACUCGCUGGGGAUUUGCUGACGCUGAGACACGAAAGCCAGGGGAGCGAACGGGAUUAGAUACCCGCGUAGUCCCUGAGCGGGCUGGCAAGGCGCAU
This 447-nucleotide ribosomal RNA is filed under the name uncultured bacterium. RNAcentral's name for it is "bacterial SSU rRNA". It matches the Rfam family "Bacterial small subunit ribosomal RNA", at positions 355 to 825 of the family's 1533-position model. The record is from RNAcentral.